Molecule: long non-coding RNA, 1653 nt
Organism: Nematostella vectensis (starlet sea anemone)
Lineage: Eukaryota; Metazoa; Cnidaria; Anthozoa; Actiniaria; Edwardsiidae
Exons: 2
Source: RefSeq, a predicted model, not a curated record
UUCUAAACAAAAAAUAAUAUAUUCAAUGUCAAUACCGCAAUAUCGAAAAUCAAUCUCUCAGUUGCCACCCCUCAUUAAAAAUAAUAUUUAAAGGAUAGAUAUAUAAAUAAAAAUAGAACAAGGUUGAAAAAUCAAUAGGAAGAGAAAAUCAAAAAGAUUACCAACAAAUAUUUAUUUGUAAAUUUAAAUGGCAUAAACCAUCGCCUACUAAAUUCAUGACUACCCCCUUUAGAUUUUGAUAAUGCGCGAAUCCCAGUGCCCGCGCGGUCGCGCUAAGGAUAACCAGGGACGCCUGCCUUAAAUUGAAACAAGUAGGGCCAUACCUGAUAAUAUGCAUACAGGCAAAAAUAACAGCAGAGGGAUUGACAUAAACCCUGAACUACUCAUCUAAAGCCAACGAGUCCAUAUUUACACAAGGAAAAUGCGAUGUCCUAGGAUUAAACCAGGGUGCAAAUGCUGCAAAGUGCUGGUAAUAGCUCACCUGAAGCUGUGUCGAUGCAGUCUAUAGUCAAACAAAUGUCGCUUUCUUUCGAUUUCUUCAAAGCCUUGCGAAGCUGAGUGGCCUGGAUACCCUGCACUAUCAUCCCGAUAACAAGCAGGAGAAUAAUAAAUACUAGAAUACAUGCUAUAACGAUGGCUAUGGUCUUUUGACGAGGUGUGAAAAAGGCCUGUUUGGUUUUCCCUUGGACCAAGUGGUCGUCUGGAUGGGUGGCCACUGUGUUGGAGUUUUCCUCCUGGUUUGUUAACACGUACUUAUUUAAGUCGGCCAUAAGGUUAAACGAUCAACUUGUAGCUCGGUCACCAGUGAGAUAAUGUUACCAAGCACAAGUCACACACCAAAUCACCGUUUGCAUUUAGGAUGUCGGUUCUCUUGUAGCUUUAAGCAGUUGAUGUGCUCCUAGUCCAAUGUAUCUGCUCUCCAAGAAUGCAAACAGCGUAAGAUCAGCAGGUCAACCGUUUGUGUGUACACUGAACGUAUGUAUGCAAAAUCACGGAUUUCGUGUGAGGGCGAUCUGACCUGUUCCGAGUGGGGAAGGAAACGACCGAGACCUUCCUUUCUUUCUGUGUGACUUUCACCGGCGCAACAAGCUCCUUGUGCGACACCACUCGUUCUAGUGGUUACCCACACGAUGUCCAAGGGCCAAUAUCAAAACUCGUGACUUUAUAUUAAUAUUUAAAUCUACUUUAAUUGGAAAACUUAGCAAACAAAUUCACUUUCCGCAACAAGUCAACUUCAUUUGCACUGGCCAUUGAAGGUUGCAAUUUGGUGAUUAUUUUUAUGGCUUGCCUUUUUGCAGACUGACUUGGAUGGAUGUGAGAGUAUAGAUUCGCAGUAUUUCCACGCAUGAAUAAUUCCUAGGUGCUGCUUAGUAAAUAAUACCCCUGUCAAAUAAACAGCUGCAGCACAGAGGGGUAAUAAACUGUAUUAUUAAAAAAAAUCGGGAGGGACCACAACUGGCGCCACGCAACAGCUCGGCCAUGAAACACACAGACACGACCAGCCCUCACAGAGCCAUGCCAAAAAUACCGCAAAGAAUUCUAUCUUGCGUUUUCCAAGAUAACAAACAGCAUAACAUGACAAAAACAAUGAUAAACAAUCAUUCUCUCUUUAAUUUUAAACCAAGAAAAUCGCAAUAAAAAUAAUGAGUGUGA